ACUCAAACCAGCUGUAUUAAGGAAGGUGCAAGCUUUUGGGAUUUCUGUUUGGAUUUAGUUUAGGUUCAAAAGAGCACGCACAGAUCCUGAGUGUUGUCAAGCACCCGUGACUGGGAAACGGAGGCGUCCGAUCCGUAUUGGAGUCAAUUCGCCACUUAAUUGAACACAGCCUCGAAGGGAAGGGCCAUAUUUGUGGGCCUGUCUAACAAUUAAGAGUGACCACAUGGAAUGGGGGAUGAAAGGGUUAAAGAAGAACAAAUAUUGAACACAGCUUUUCUAUGAACAAACUGCAGGCAGCUGCUGCUUUGCAAGAAAAACCCUUUGAAAAGAUUCAGCACGUUGCCAUGGAGAACAUCCCACUGAAGGAAUGUAUAGAAGUAGCAGGGAUCUGCAAUGAGAUGGGAGAAGGCAACAGGCUGUGUGGGAACCACUGAAGCUGGGAUGGCAGGGAAAGAACAUCUUAGGCUAACUCUUCAAGCCUUGCUGUCACAUUUGCUUUUGAGUCUAUGGUGUCAGCUGCCUACCAGUUGCUUUCAUCUCUAGAAAUCUGUGACUUGCAGUAUGACAAGAACAAAAGGUGACAAUACAAAGGACAAAGGGCAAGGAAUACAGACGGAGAAGCCGCUUAGAGUCUAGGAUGGCAGAGGUUCUCUUGAUCAUUUCAUUUUUGAGCGCUUGUAGAGCUUUGGUGUACCAGAGGUGCUUGAACAGCUUACCACACCACAGAUGAAUGGCCUUUGGAUUUCUCCUAAGAAAAUGUGGCUACCUGAAAUUCAACUCCAUUUUCUGGUCUUCAAUAUUUCUUUUGUGUUCAGUUUGCCAGCUGAGGAGAAGUGGCUAAGCAUAGCCUGUUACUGAUGCUAAAGCCCAAGUUCUGAACCUAACAACUCCAGCAACAUGAUCCUGUUUCAAGAGACAAAAAAGUGACUAAUGAAAGAAAACAAUUGAUGUGCUAUGUAGAGUUUAAAAGAAGGUAAAGAGAAUAAAUUAAAAGCAACAACUCUC
Molecule: long non-coding RNA, 1005 nt
Filed under: Mus musculus (house mouse)
Lineage: Eukaryota; Metazoa; Chordata; Mammalia; Rodentia; Muridae
Description: predicted gene 14461
Source: RNAcentral